RNAcentral lists this long non-coding RNA (211 nucleotides) under Lathyrus oleraceus (garden pea). Its description in RNAcentral is "Pisum sativum (pea) long non-coding RNA (PSAT_LNC000015)". Lineage: Eukaryota; Viridiplantae; Streptophyta; Magnoliopsida; Fabales; Fabaceae. The record is from RNAcentral.
GACUAUUCAACACCGGUACGAGACACACCGCAACUACAAGAUGACACUCGAACAACUUGAGGCAAACCAAGUUUCAAUAAGAACAGACAUUGAAUCUAUGGAGGCAAAGAUGGAUCGUUUGCUUGAGACUAUGUUGCUCUUAUCCCAGAAGGAAAAAUAUGUUGAAACUAACCCCGAAGCCAGAAGAGUUGUUGCUCAGUUUGGAUCGCCA